UAGCAAGCCUGGAACGUGAAGUUAUUUAUUUAUCCAAAGAGCCAUACAGCUGAGGCAGCAGCAGUGCAGGCUUCUUCACACUAUCCUGCUAAAGUGUCUUUUUCCUAGCCUAGAGGGACCACUUAGAUGUCCUUUCAGUCUUUGGCCCCUCUGCUUCAACUGCCAUCU
RNAcentral lists this small RNA (168 nucleotides) under Chrysemys picta bellii (western painted turtle). Its description in RNAcentral is "TUC338 (ENSCPBG00000022461.1)". The record is from RNAcentral. Lineage: Eukaryota; Metazoa; Chordata; Testudines; Emydidae.